UACGGAGGGGGCGAGCGUUAUUCGGAAUUAUUGGGCGUAAAGCGCGUGUAGGCGGCUUGGUAAGUCCGCUCUGAAAGCCCGGGGCUCAACCCCGGGAGGCGGGUGGAUACUGUCAAGCUCGAGUCCGGAAGAGGCGAGUGGAAUUCCUGGUGUAGCGGUGAAAUGCGCAGAUAUCAGGAAGAACACCGGUGGCGAAGGCGGCCUGCUGGGCAGUUUAGCUGACACUGAGGCGCGACAGCGUGGGGAGCAAACAGG
Molecule: ribosomal RNA, 255 nt
Filed under: uncultured bacterium
Lineage: Bacteria
Description: partial 16S ribosomal RNA
Rfam family: Bacterial small subunit ribosomal RNA
Source: RNAcentral